CUUCCUUUGUACACACCGCCCGUCGCUACUACCGAUUGAAUGGCUCAGUGAGGCCUCCGGACUGGCUCGAAGAGGUUGGCAACGACCACUUCGAGCCGGAAAGCUGGUCAAACUCGGUCAUUUAGAGGAAGUAAAAGUCGUAACAAGGUUUCCGUAGGUGAACCUGCGGAAGGAUCAUUACCUAGAGUUGUAGGCUUUGCCUGCUAUCUCUUACCCAUGUCUUUUGAGUACCUUACGUUUCCUCGGUGGGUUCGCCCACCGAUUGGACAAAUUUAAACCCUUUGCAGUUGAAAUCAGCGUCUGAAAAAACUUAAUAGUUACAACUUUCAACAACGGAUCUCUUGGUUCUGGCAUCGAUGAAGAACGCAGCGAAAUGCGAUAAGUAGUGUGAAUUGCAGAAUUCAGUGAAUCAUCGAAUCUUUGAACGCACAUUGCGCCCCUUGGUAUUCCAUGGGGCAUGCCUGUUCGAGCGUCAUUUGUACCUUCAAGCUCUGCUUGGUGUUGGGUGUUUGUCUCCUGUAGACUCGCCUCAAAACAAUUGGCAGCCGGCGUAUUGAUUUCGGAGCGCAGUACAUCUCGCGCUUUGCACUCAUAACGACGACAUCCAAAAGUACAUUUUUACACUCUUGACCUCGGAUCAGGUAGGGAUACCCGCUGAACUUAAGCAUAUCAAGCG
RNAcentral lists this ribosomal RNA (676 nucleotides) under Phoma sp. FN-40. RNAcentral describes it as "eukaryotic LSU rRNA". The stretch from base 1 to 180 matches the Rfam family "Eukaryotic small subunit ribosomal RNA", at positions 1653 to 1831 of the family's 1831-position model. The record is from RNAcentral. Lineage: Eukaryota; Fungi; Ascomycota; Dothideomycetes; Pleosporales; Didymellaceae.